This is a long non-coding RNA of Photinus pyralis (common eastern firefly), 1923 nucleotides long. RefSeq lists it as uncharacterized. NCBI's taxonomy places the organism in Eukaryota, Metazoa, Arthropoda, Insecta, Coleoptera, Lampyridae. The transcript has 5 exons. The record is from RefSeq and is a predicted model, not a curated record.
UCGGUACUUUCAGACUCAAUUCCAAUGUCUUGAGAGGUGUGGAGAAUGAGAAGCUUUUAUUAGCGUACCACAUUUUUCCUAAUUUCUGUGCGGAGAUAUUUUUGAAGAAAAUCCGCGGACUCGUAAUCUAAAUAAAUGGAAAGAUUCGUCCCCAUCAGCUCCUCUAAGCUCUCAAUAGGUAUGUUUUUCCGUUGGUAGCGACAUCAACAACCGCAUUAGUUCCGCAAGUUGAACCGUUGGGAAUGCAAUUGGAGCUGCCACAAAAUGUGAUACUGACAGUGUUCAUUAUGAGUAUCCAAGCUCACAUUAAAUCGACAGAUAACGUACCAAGCUACGGCGAAUAACACAAAAGCCAGAAGAAUUGAUAUCCAAACUUCUUUCUUGAAGGCAACUAUACCAAAACCUCAAUAUACGAUAUUUUAUCUGCUGGAGGAACAACGAAUACAAUGUUGUCUCUGGCAAACACAUGACUGACACGAUAAUCGUGAAAAACAUCAAUCGUCAGUGACAUAUCUCCAAGUAUAGCCCAUUCUGGGAGAUUGUAGUCCACAAUAAUGACCAUAGAAAUGUUUAAUAAUUCCCGCGUAACAUUUAAGGUAUAGUCUCUUGGAUCGUAGUGGUACCGAAACUGAAUAAAGUUGACUAUAAUUGAGAGGCAGCCAUUAUAGUUCCUGAAAGGUUUAGGAAUCGUGUCCGUAAUUGAACCGCUACAACUUUGAUUGUGGAUCACGUUUAAUUGGCGCCCGCAAGCAUUCAACGGGUCGUUUGGAUUUGCCGUAAAUAAGAGCGACUUGCUGCAGCUAUGUAGGUCGAUCGACAACACUGCGGCGUAGAUGGCGUUUCUCUGCCAAAACCACUUCAGGGACGCUUUCGCUAAAUCGUUUUCAUCGGUUACCACUAGAAACCGUUCAUUGUAUAACUUUGCAGAUUGAAUUACGAAAUUGUAGAAAGGCCAUCUCAGACGCCUCUUCUCUGUGCUAGUGUUAACAAGAAUCUUGCUAUUACUUACAUGGAACGGUAAGAGAUGGUUCGACAUAUUAUGGUAAACGAAGUAAAGGGGUUGUUUUCCAAAAAUCGUUUCAACAGCCUUCGCGCCACAUACUUCCAACGACCGCGAAGACACGCCGAUUCCAAUUUGCGAAUUGUGAAUUGAACGCAGAAAAAUUGCGAAGAGAACACAAAGUGGAACGCUGCCUUUCAUUUCACGUACCCGAAGUUACUUCAAAAACAAAUGACGCGAGUAGUAAUUUUCUGUUUGUGGAGUCUUUCAGUGUAUAAUUUCGUGUUGGAUAUCAGACCGUUAAAAACAUAGUAAUGGUAUUUAAUCAUAAAGCUCGUGUUUACCGAGCAAUUGAGUAAUAAUACAGUACAGCGCUAACAGUGGAAACAAAACCUUUCAUAUUUAUUCGAAUGUUCUGUCUUUAUUUUAUAGUAGACGUGUAUAAGUAGAUACCUAAUUCAAUUAUUUCCACAGAAAAGGUCCAAAUUUGGAAAAACCUUAUAAGUUUUUAAAACGUCUAAUGCCAUUGAGUAUAUCCUUCCUUUGCUUUACCGUGUAAUGUUAUUAACUAAUUAUUAUUAAUUAUUUGAGAGCCGCAAAAGGUUUCGUCCAAGAGCCUAUAAAAAUCUCCUAGGUCUUUAUGAGCCUCAGAUAGUGACGUUAGCAUUUAAAAGCUCUUAAUACCCCUGAAAAGACCUAUCCGAACCUUUAUAAAACCGUCUUUCAAAGCUUGUUUUAUUAGUCUCUUGACCCAAACACUACCCAAGAGUCUCCAGAAAAUUUAAUUUGCAAUCAAUAAAGAUAAAAAGAGUCGGGGUAACUACGGGCCUGUAUACGUCAACGAUCAGUAUUAGUCUGGCAACAUGUAGAAAUGUUAAUAUGAUUCAAUAAAGAAUAUUAUUCAAUGAUAUCAAUGAAUAAAG